CCACCCACCACCGCUCAGCCUCGCCGCUCCGUCCGUCCCUCCCUCCCGGCUGUAGCCGGAAACGGGGAAUUCCCGAUGGCCGCGAGACAUACAAAGGCAGGACUUGGCUUCGUUCCAAACCGGCAGAACGGGGGAAGGGACAACGGGUCACCUCCGAAUAUCCCCAUCCAUCGGCAAACACCUUUUGACGCAGCCCAGAGCUACGGAAGAACGUAAGGAGGGGGUCUGCCGGAUUCAGGCCGAAGGCCCGUGUGGUCCAGCACCUUGUUUUCACAGCUGUCGGUGGGAAGCCUCCUCUCGCAACACGAUUCCCAAGAUCCUGUAUGCAGAGGCAUCAUAAUAUAGUGCUUCGAGUCAAAACAUCGUGAUCUUUUUCCCCCCCUGCAUCCAUCCUUAACCUGUUUCUAGGUGCCGGACAAAAAUAUUAUUAUAUGGCCAGGCCUUUGGUUCUUAAUUAGGAGAGUAACUAGCUAUGCAUCCUGAACCUUUGACUUUCUUAGGAGGGUUCAGGCUAGAUGUCAGACCUGAGUUGCACCACCAGCCACCAGAAUUGGAAGGGACCACGAGGCUCAUCUAGUCCAACACCCCAGCAAUGCAGGAAUCUUUCACCCAAUGUGCGGUUCGAACCCAUAACCCCCCUGUGAACCUGUUGAGGAAAAUCGUUAUUCGGCAUAAGCUGGGCAGUCAUGCUUUUUAAGGUGCAUCUUCUGCUCUGCACAAGGUCUAAGGGACAGUGGACCGCCCCCCUGCUGAAAAAGUUUGCUGACCCCUGGUGUACAUACUUCUGUAUCAAGAAACAAUUUUCUGCAGGACUGGUUCUGGAAGAACAACAUUUCGAGCAACAACUCCUUCCCAAUCAUUUCUGUACUGCUUCGUAGAGAGUAGACUGUCAGAUCUCCCUGUAAAAGAACAUUUAUUGUGUGUCAUUCCCCUCUCUCUCCUAGCAUGAAGUUACAGUACAAUCAUACCUUCAUGCAAAACUUGUGUGAUUUCAACCUUGUGCAGGUGAAAGCCAGCCAGCUGAAUUUGUGCAAAUUAAGUGCACACAAGGCGGAGAACUUAAAAGCUCCCUUUGUGCAUGGUUUUCCUGGACCUGAAAGAGCCUUUAAGCUCUCUGCCUUGCUGACCAGGCUCUGGGAUGCUCUUGUGCAAGCUUUUAAGAUGCUCUCAUGAGAUCUGACAGGAAGUUGGAUGGCCUCUGAGAUCUCAUGAGGGGAGGGAAGUAGAGCCUUCAAUGUGGAGUUCCUCAGGGUUCAAUUUUGUUCUUUUUGGUGUUUAACAUCUACAUGAAACCACUGAGUGGGGUUAUUCAGAGGUUUGGGGUAUAUUGUCAGCAACAUGCUGAUGCCACACAGCUCUACUCCUUUACAUGUGCAAGUGUGGCAGUGGAUGAGCUGGACCAUUGAGUUGCCUUGGUAACAGACUGAAUGAGAGCCAACAAACUGAAGCUCAAUCCAGAUUGAGACUGAGGCACUGUUAGUGGGCU
Non-coding RNA from Podarcis muralis (Common wall lizard), 1486 nucleotides. NCBI's taxonomy places the organism in Eukaryota, Metazoa, Chordata, Lepidosauria, Squamata, Lacertidae. The record is from RefSeq and is a predicted model, not a curated record.